UAGGGAAUAUUAGUAAUGGGCGAAAGCCUGAACUAGCAACGCCGCGUGUGCGAAGAAGGCCUUCGGGUUGUAAAGCACUUUUUGAGAGGAUGAGGAGGGACGGUACUCUCAGAAUAAGUCUCGGCUAACUACGUGCCAGCAGCCGCGGUAACACGUAGGAGGCGAACGUUAUCCGGAUUUACUGGGCGUAAAGCGCGUGUAGGUGGUUUGGUAAGUAGGGCGUGAAAGCUCCUGGCUCAACUGGGAGAGGCCGUUCUAAACUGC
This 264-nucleotide ribosomal RNA is filed under the name uncultured bacterium. RNAcentral describes it as "partial 16S ribosomal RNA". It matches the Rfam family "Bacterial small subunit ribosomal RNA", at positions 355 to 636 of the family's 1533-position model. The record is from RNAcentral.